RNAcentral lists this ribosomal RNA (427 nucleotides) under uncultured bacterium. Its description in RNAcentral is "partial 16S ribosomal RNA". It matches the Rfam family "Bacterial small subunit ribosomal RNA", at positions 355 to 774 of the family's 1533-position model. The record is from RNAcentral.
UGGGGACUAUUGCACAAUGGGCGCAAGCCUGAUGCAGCCAUGCCGCGUGUAUGAAGAAGGCCUUCGGGUUGUAAAGUACUUUCAGCGAGGAGGAAGGCGGUAAGGUUAAUAACCUUAUCGAUUGACGUUACUCGCAGAAGAAGCACCGGCUAACUCCGUGCCAGCAGCCGCGGUAAUACGGAGGGUGCAAGCGUUAAUCGGAAUUACUGGGCGUAAAGCGCACGCAGGCGGUCUGUCAAGUCGGAUGUGAAAUCCCCGGGCUCAACCUGGGAACUGCAUUCGAAACUGGCAGGCUAGAGUCUUGUAGAGGGGGGUAGAAUUCCAGGUGUAGCGGUGAAAUGCGUAGAGAUCUGGAGGAAUACCGGUGGCGAAGGCGGCCCCCUGGACAAAGACUGACGCUCAGGUGCGAAAGCGUGGGGAGCAAACA